Molecule: transfer RNA, 73 nt
Filed under: Caudoviricetes sp.
Lineage: Duplodnaviria; Heunggongvirae; Uroviricota; Caudoviricetes
Description: tRNA-Lys
Rfam family: tRNA
About the family: Transfer RNA (tRNA) molecules are approximately 80 nucleotides in length.
Source: RNAcentral
ACCUCUUUAGCUCAGUUGGUAGAGCAACGCACCUUUAAUGCGUGGGGCGCAGGUUCAAGUCCUGCAGGGGGUA